UACAGAGGUCCCAAGCGUUGUUCGGAUUCACUGGGCGUAAAGGGUGCGUAGGUGGCUUGGUAAGUUUGAUGUGAAAUCUCCGGGCUUAACCCGGAAAUGGCAUUGAAUACUACUUUAGCUGGAGGUCUGGAGGGGGGACUGGAAUUCUCGGUGUAGCAGUGAAAUGCGUAGAUAUCUGGAGGAACACCGGUGGCGAAGGCGGCAUCCUGGACCAAUAUUGACGCUGAGGAGCGAAAGCGUGGGGAGCGAACAGG
This 254-nucleotide ribosomal RNA is filed under the name uncultured bacterium. RNAcentral describes it as "partial 16S ribosomal RNA". It matches the Rfam family "Bacterial small subunit ribosomal RNA", at positions 524 to 776 of the family's 1533-position model. The record is from RNAcentral.